Non-coding RNA from Xylariomycetidae sp. FL0641, 118 nucleotides. Lineage: Eukaryota; Fungi; Ascomycota; Sordariomycetes. The record is from the annotation of a GenBank genome assembly.
GGCUCGAUGGUCUAGUGGUAUGAUUCUCGCUUAGGGUAACACCCUUUGCAAGCAUAUGCAUCAAUCUGAUCAUAUGUGAUUAUGCGAGAGGUCUCGGGUUCGAUCCCCGAUUGAGCCC